RNAcentral lists this ribosomal RNA (433 nucleotides) under Bacillus cereus. Its description in RNAcentral is "bacterial SSU rRNA". It matches the Rfam family "Bacterial small subunit ribosomal RNA", at positions 431 to 854 of the family's 1533-position model. The record is from RNAcentral. Lineage: Bacteria; Bacillati; Bacillota; Bacilli; Caryophanales; Bacillaceae.
CUCUGUUGUUAGGGAAGAACAAGUGCUAGUUGAAUAAGCUGGCACCUUGACGGUACCUAACCAGAAAGCCACGGCUAACUACGUGCCAGCAGCCGCGGUAAUACGUAGGUGGCAAGCGUUAUCCGGAAUUAUUGGGCGUAAAGCGCGCGCAGGUGGUUUCUUAAGUCUGAUGUGAAAGCCCACGGCUCAACCGUGGAGGGUCAUUGGAAACUGGGAGACUUGAGUGCAGAAGAGGAAAGUGGAAUUCCAUGUGUAGCGGUGAAAUGCGUAGAGAUAUGGAGGAACACCAGUGGCGAAGGCGACUUUCUGGUCUGUAACUGACACUGAGGCGCGAAAGCGUGGGGAGCAAACAGGAUUAGAUACCCUGGUAGUCCACGCCGUAAACGAUGAGUGCUAAGUGUUAGAGGGUUUCCGCCCUUUAGUGCUGAAGUUA